Molecule: ribosomal RNA, 462 nt
Filed under: uncultured bacterium
Lineage: Bacteria
Description: partial 16S ribosomal RNA
Rfam family: Bacterial small subunit ribosomal RNA
Source: RNAcentral
GACGAACGCUGGCGGCGUGCUUAACACAUGCAAGUCGAGCGGAAAGGCCCUUCGGGGUACUCGAGCGGCGAACGGGUGAGUAACACGUGAGUAACCUGCCCCAGACUUUGGGAUAACCCUCGGAAACGGGGGCUAAUACCGGAUACGACACAGCUUCGCAUGGGGUCUGUGUGGAAAGUUUUUCGGUUUGGGAUGGGCUCGCGGCCUAUCAGCUUGUUGGUGGGGUGAUGGCCUACCAAGGCGACGACGGGUAGCCGGCCUGAGAGGGCGACCGGCCACACUGGGACUGAGACACGGCCCAGACUCCUACGGGAGGCAGCAGUGGGGAAUAUUGCACAAUGGGCGGAAGCCUGAUGCAGCGACGCCGCGUGAGGGAUGACGGCCUUCGGGUUGUAAACCUCUUUCAGCAGGGACGAAGCGUAAGUGACGGUACCUGCAGAAGAAGCGCCGGCCAACUACGUG